Molecule: long non-coding RNA, 1664 nt
Organism: Dicentrarchus labrax (European seabass)
Lineage: Eukaryota; Metazoa; Chordata; Actinopteri; Moronidae
Exons: 2
Source: RefSeq, a predicted model, not a curated record
UCAAAGCAGAUUGUAGGUUUUGGCAACAAAGUCAGCCCAGCUAAGAACCAUGAACCAGCCCUAUAACAGAUAAUCACUAACAGUGUUAAGAUGCUUUCUUAGCGCCUUCCCCAGCUCAGGGACGUUUACUGGGGUUGAAGGUUUAUCUCUCAUGCCCCCUUUUUGAGAGGCAGCACGUUCUUCCCUAUGGUGAUUGGGACUCCACUUCCCAGCAUUCUCGGCGGAAAUGUGACGCCGUCAAAACAAGCUGCUGUGACGUCAUCGUCAAGCGCUGCACCUGUGGGACCACGCGCUCUACCUGCAGACAGCGAGGAGGGAAACAGGCCAACUGCGGACGAAGACUGGCCGGCCUGACGUGCCGAACCGAACCCUGGACCCUUGAACCCAUGACGGCAAGCGACAACUGGAUGUUGGACAGAACUGACAAGCAAGACAGGUGGAGCCGGCCGCUGCGCCUGGGACCCGCGCUCCCCUGGAAGGCAGCGCAGCGCCGCGCCGCGCAGCGCCGGAGCCGGAGCCGGAGCCGGGACCGCAGCGGAGCCGCAGGAGCAAUUCCUCCCCCCUUCUGCGGACCCUCCAGAACCAGAGCAGCCGGACACAACUGCGGAUGUUGUUCAAAGCGACACUCUCCCCAACAGCCGAGAUCGCUGCUGAGACUUCACAAUGCAAUCGACCCGCCAUCAUACUCACCGCAGACAGGACAAGUAGAAACAAACUACAAACCACAAGUAACGCACACAACAUCCUGGUAAACAGGCUUGUAGAGGAGCAGCAGAGAUAGGCAGGCAGGCUAAAGCAGCUUAAAUAAGGCGCCAUGCAUGAUGUUUGCCAAUUGGAUGCUUGAGGAAAUCAGCUAAUGAUAGCAUGAAGCCAAGCAACCUGAAACGACCCCAGGAGACCAAACACCACCAGACUAUUGGUGAACGUUGAGAAUAUGUUGAGAGGAAGAAGCAAUUGGCACCAUCAAGAAGAUCCACGGACAUCAGAAAAGCUUUUGAAAGAGCAGGUAGUGAUUUACAAAGAGCCACGGAGGCGUCAUCUGACUGUUCACUGUUAAUUGCCGAGGCUAAAAAGCCGAACAAUAUUGGAGAGCAGCUUAUCAAACCCGCCUGCCUGAAAAUUGUGGAGAGGCUGUGUGGACUGCAUGUUGUUGAUAAAGUGAAAACUGUCCCACUGUCAGACAACACUGUGAAAGACCAAAGACCAAAACCAGCUGCAGAGAAGCUGAGGAACGUUAACUUUGCCAUUCAGCUGGACGAAACAACAACAGUGUCAGACGAGUCCGUCCUCAUGGUUUCUGUGCAGUAUAUUGAUGGCGAGGACUUGAAACAACACAUUCUUAUGUCUAAGAAUCUAUCAACAACAACAACCGGCCAGGAUAUAUUUAUGGCUGUGGACUCAUAUCUCUCAUCCAACAAUCUGCCCUAUGAAAACCUGGUAGCAUGUUGCCCUGACGGGGCCGCAGCAAUGAUGGGCAAAAACAAAGAGUUUAACAGCCGCCUUAAGGAAAAAGCCCCAGGGUGCGUGAUUUUCCACUGCAUGCCACAUCGGCAAGCACUGGCAAGUCAAAAACUUUCAGAAGACCUUAGUAACACCCUGUCAACUGUUGUUAAAGUUGUAAACUUUAUUAAAGCUAAUAAAUAAAUGCCUGUGCAUAAAAGGAA